UACGUAGGGUGCAAGCGUUGUCCGGAUUUAUUGGGCGUAAAGAGCUCGUAGGCGGUCUGUCGCGUCGGAUGUGAAAACCCAGGGCUCAACCCUGGGCCUGCAUUCGAUACGGGCAGACUAGAGUGUGGCAGGGGAGACUGGAAUUCCUGGUGUAGCGGUGAAAUGCGCAGAUAUCAGGAGGAACACCGGUGGCGAAGGCGGGUCUCUGGGCCGAUACUUACGCUGAGGAGCGAAAGCGUGGUGAGCGAACAGG
This 253-nucleotide ribosomal RNA is filed under the name uncultured bacterium. Its description in RNAcentral is "partial 16S ribosomal RNA". It matches the Rfam family "Bacterial small subunit ribosomal RNA", at positions 524 to 776 of the family's 1533-position model. The record is from RNAcentral.